RNAcentral lists this microRNA precursor (89 nucleotides) under Manacus vitellinus (golden-collared manakin). RNAcentral describes it as "mir-1426 microRNA precursor family". Lineage: Eukaryota; Metazoa; Chordata; Aves; Passeriformes; Pipridae. RNAcentral also lists the same sequence under 1 other name. The record is from Rfam by way of RNAcentral.
GCAGGGUUGCUCCUCUUUCCUUAACUCAUGCCACUGUGCCUUUUUAUUUAUUUCACAAUUGUGUGAGUUGAGUACAGAGUGUAAUUCUG